Molecule: long non-coding RNA, 462 nt
Organism: Cyprinodon tularosa
Lineage: Eukaryota; Metazoa; Chordata; Actinopteri; Cyprinodontiformes; Cyprinodontidae
Exons: 4
Source: RefSeq, a predicted model, not a curated record
UAGAUGGGAAUCACACGCUAAUUAGAUGGAGGAUCGUGGUCCAUGGUGGAGUAGAUGGAUUUUCCAGGUUAAUAGUGUACCUUGAUGCUUCCACCAACAAUAGAGCUUUGACUGUUCUCCAUAGCUUCAUAUCGGCUGCUGGCCAGUAUGGUGUACCUUCUCGAGUUCGAUCUGACAAGGGGGGUGAAAAUGUGAUGAUUGCUCAGUUUAUGGUCCAAACUAAUGGAGUGAACAGGAAUUCUCAUAUGACUAGAAGAAGUGUGCAUAACCAGAGAAUAGAGCGCCUUUGGAGAAAUGUUUAUUAGAAUGUGCUUGAUCUGUACUACACAGUCUUCAUGCAAAUGGAAGCCGAGGGAAUUCUAAAUCCAGAUGAUGAGAUUGAGUUGUAUUCACUACACAGAUGCUUCAUGCCACAUAUUCAACAUGGCCUUCACUGCUUCAAGGAGGCAUGGGAUAACCAUG